GAUGAAGAACGCAGCGAAAUGCGAUACGUAAUGUGAAUUGCAAAUUCAGUGAAUCAUCGAGUCUUUGAACGCACAUUGCGCCCCCUGGUAUUCCGGGGGGCAUGCCUGUCCGAGCGUCAUUGCUGCCCUCAAGCACGGCUUGUGUGUUGGGCCCCGUCCUCCGAUCCCGGGGGACGGGCCCGAAAGGCAGCGGCGGCACCGCGUCCGGUCCUCGAGCGUAUGGGGCUUUGUCACCCGCUCUGUAGGCCCGCCCGGCGCUUGCCGAUCAACCCAAAUUUUUAUCCAGGUUGACCUCGGAUCAGGUAGGGAUACCCGCUGAACUUAAGCAUAUCAAUAAGCGGAGGA
This 345-nucleotide unclassified non-coding RNA is filed under the name soil metagenome. RNAcentral's name for it is "partial contains 5.8S ribosomal RNA, internal transcribed spacer 2, and large subunit ribosomal RNA". The stretch from base 1 to 119 matches the Rfam family "5.8S ribosomal RNA", at positions 35 to 154 of the family's 154-position model. The record is from RNAcentral.